This is a long non-coding RNA of Morone saxatilis (striped sea-bass), 687 nucleotides long. RefSeq lists it as uncharacterized. NCBI's taxonomy places the organism in Eukaryota, Metazoa, Chordata, Actinopteri, Moronidae. The record is from RefSeq and is a predicted model, not a curated record. The transcript is spliced from 3 exons.
UUGGUCUACACGGCCACGCGUUGUGCCAGGUGAAUCAUCGGUCCGGUGGAGAGCAAACAUUUAAUAAGGUUUUAAAUGCAAAAGUAAAUAAACCAACGCCACGAACAGGAUGUUCACCGGACUAAUGCAGUGUUUUAUUGAGAGUCAGAGGGCACAGGGUAGCUACAUGUCUUACCUGUGCUGAAGGAUCCAUCUUGAGUUACACGGACGGCAUCUUCGGUGGUUCCAAUUUCCAGCCCAUUCCCCAAUUUUCAACCCCAAUGACAGACAACACAUGCUUGAAUGGCUGUUCAGCUAAAGAAGGGAAUUGUUGGCUCCUGUGUUCUGUCUAAGCAGAGAUGAGAAGACAAUACUCCAGUGUGUGCAGAUCAGGUGUUUACCUUAUAAGCACGAUGAAAGCCCCGCCAACCAGUUGUGACAAUGGCAAAGUGAGAUAAUAACCCACCGAGAUGAUUUGAGAAUGACUUAUACGAGCACCGAGCUUGUACGGGGCAUUGCACACUCUAAAUGGUAUGCUUUUGAAGUCAGACGAACCAGAGGGUGUGGUAGACUUUGUCUGGUCCACCUCACUGUGUUGCAUUAUUAGGUCUCUGUUUAUGCUCAGAAUAAUGUCAUUUUUUAUUUCGUGUGGAUAUUUUAUAUGUGACUAGAUCCUUGAAAAGAGAAUAAAUAUACUCAAUCUUCUGA